Molecule: transfer RNA, 71 nt
Filed under: Gemmatimonadales bacterium
Lineage: Bacteria; Pseudomonadati; Gemmatimonadota; Gemmatimonadia; Gemmatimonadales
Description: tRNA-Cys
Rfam family: tRNA
About the family: Transfer RNA (tRNA) molecules are approximately 80 nucleotides in length. Their secondary structure includes four short double-helical elements and three loops (D, anti-codon, and T loops). Further hydrogen bonds mediate the characteristic L-shaped molecular structure. tRNAs have two regions of fundamental functional importance: the anti-codon, which is responsible for specific mRNA codon recognition, and the 3' end, to which the tRNAs corresponding amino acid is attached (by aminoacyl-tRNA synthetases). tRNAs cope with the degeneracy of the genetic code in two manners: having more than one tRNA (with a specific anti-codon) for a particular amino acid; and 'wobble' base-pairing, i.e. permitting non-standard base-pairing at the 3rd anti-codon position.
Source: RNAcentral
GGCGCCGUAGCCAAGUGGUAAGGCAGAGGACUGCAAAUCCUCGAUCGUCGGUUCGACUCCGACCGGCGCCU